RNAcentral lists this ribosomal RNA (465 nucleotides) under uncultured bacterium. RNAcentral describes it as "partial 16S ribosomal RNA". It matches the Rfam family "Bacterial small subunit ribosomal RNA", at positions 28 to 507 of the family's 1533-position model. The record is from RNAcentral.
GACGAACGCUGGCGGCGUGCUUAACACAUGCAAGUCGUACGGUAAGGCCCUUUCGGGGGUACACGAGUGGCGAACGGGUGAGUAACACGUGAGUAACCUGCCCACAACUUUGGGAUAACGCUAGGAAACUGGUGCUAAUACUGGAUAUGUGCUCCUGCUGCAUGGUGGGGGUUGGAAAGCUCCGGCGGUUGUGGAUGGACUCGCGGCCUAUCAGCUUGUUGGUGGGGUAGUGGCCUACCAAGGCGGCGACGGGUAGCCGGCCUGAGAGGGUGACCGGCCACAUUGGGACUGAGAUACGGCCCAGACUCCUACGGUAGGCAGCAGGGGGGAAUAUUGCACAAUGGGCGCAAGCCGGAUGCAGCAACGCCGCGUGCGGGAGGACGGCCUUCGGGUUGUAAACCGCUUUCAGCAGGGACGAAGCUUUUUGUGACGGUACCUGCAGAAGAAGCACCGGCUAACUACGUG